Molecule: long non-coding RNA, 10617 nt
Filed under: Octopus vulgaris (common octopus)
Lineage: Eukaryota; Metazoa; Mollusca; Cephalopoda; Octopoda; Octopodidae
Source: RNAcentral
UACUGUCAUAAAUUUGAUGUUUUUUCAGCUCAAGGAAUCAUUGCAAAUAUUGAAACAGGCGUGUAACUGUAAAAUAGAGAUACAUAUGAUCCCUUGUGUGUGUGUGUGUGUGUGUGUGUGUGUGUGUGUGUGUGUGUGCAUGCGUGUGUGUGUGUGCAUGCGUGUGUGUGUGUGUGUGUGCAUGCGUGUGUGUGUGUGUGUGUGUGCAUGCGUGUGUGUGUGUGUGUGUGUGUGUGUGUGUGUGUGCAUGCGUGUGUGUGUGUGUGUGUGUGUGUGUGCAUGUGUGUGUGUGUGUGCAUGCGUGUGUGUGUGUGUGUGUGUGUGUGUGUGUGUGUGCAUGCGUGUGUGUGUGUGUGUGUGUGUGCAUGCGUGUGUGUGUGUGUGUGUGCAUGCGUGUGUGUGUGCAUGCGUGUGUGUGUGUGCAUGCGUGUGUGUGUGUGUGCAUGCGUGUGUGUGUGUGUGUGUGCAUGCGUGUGUGUGUGUGCAUGUGUGUGUGUGUGUGCAUGUGUGUGUGUGUGUGUGUGUGCAUGCGUGUGUGUGUGUGUAUCAAAUAGUUUUACAUGCUGGCAGAAGCUUCAAUAAAUCAUCUUUCGAUAUAUCAUGCCCAUCUGGCACUUCAAAGGUGAGACUUAAUGGUCUCAAUUCUUAUGUAAAUACUUCUUUCCAAAUUAUCUUUGGCAUAUCUGAAAUGUACAGGUAUGACAGGAGAAACAAGUGCAUAGCAAACCUAGUCACCACACUCAGUUUCAUUUCUCAGUCAUACCAAUUUCAUUUAACAACUCUCUUUUCUCAUCCUUUGAAGUCAGUCAAACAAAUCAUCCAUUUCAGUUUUGGAUACAUCAUCAUCAUCAUCAUCAUCAUCAUUUUAAUGUCUGCUUUCUCAUGCUUGCAUGGGUCAGAUAAAAUUCACUGAGGUAGAUUUUCUGCAGCUGGAUACUCUUCCUGUUGCCAACUAUCACGUUUCCAAGCAAGGUAUAAUACUUCCCCAUUGCUGAAUAUGUCCACAUGGAAAUUUGGGGAUGAAGAACACCACUUGUCUUACAGUGAAGCUCACUUAUAAGUAUCACAUGGUAUCAAGGAGACACAAACACACAGGACAAAUUUCUUACAGUUUCCAUUUACCAAAUCCACCCACAAACUUUUAGUCAAUCUGGGGCUAUUGGAGAAGACACUUUCCCAAAGUACCAUGCAGCUGGCUGAACCCAAAACCACAUGGUUGGUAAGUAAACUUCUUAAUCACAGAGACUAGUUAAAAAUAGUCAAAUAGAAAACUAAAAUGUUGCAUUUUUGACCAUUCCACCUUAAAGUAGAAUAGUAUACAUAUAUCAAUUUACUAUUCGUACAUGGCUCUAUAAAGUGGCCUCUCCCUCCAGCUGUCACAUUCUUGAUAUGCUGCUGGGUCAAAGACCACCAAGAGGUAUCUAUGUUUGUUCACAAGUUCAUAGGCCCUGACAAAAAGCAAAAAAAAAAAAAAAUUAAUUAAUUAGCUAAAAUAUGGUGCAUGCUACCAAAUCAUACUCGCUUAUGAGUGACAGCUGUGGUCUUAAAAAAUUAAUUAGCAAGUUUGGUUGUUUCUUGAUUACUCUACACACAAUUUGACAAUCUAUCUCAUUGGCAUUCAAAGACAACUUGCUUAACUGUGACAUAAAACAAAAGCAUUCUUAUAAUUUUGUCAUAGUCGUCAACCUAAUAGAAAACUUUCAAGCUGUGUUUCUGGAAAAGUGCACUUCAGUGCACUAGCAUAGUACAUAUAGUUUCUAGAUGCACAGUGGAGUGUUAAAAAAUAUAAUUUAAGACCCCUUGAAAAUCCAUAUUUAACGCUUUGAGCAUCUUGUAAAACAGGUUAUAAUUUUGUUAUGCAGAAGCAUGAUAACUAAAACAAAACUAAACAGUUAGUUUCUGCAUUUGUUUUCUCUGAAGUUUUAACAAUGAAACAAUUUUGCUAUAAACUUUCCAAACGAAAUGCACCAGUAAUUUUUUUAUUCGAUUUUCAGUGUGCCAUUAAGUCAAAAUGAUUGAGAACCACUACGUUAAGUAAAACCUGUCUACCAGAAAUUGUAGUGGUAUUGAAGCAAGAACAGCAAAAGAAGAAGAAAAAAAAAAUGACAAAAUACCACGUUCUAGAUUACUAAGCAUGGUCCUGGUUAGAAAACUUCCAAGAUUUAGUAAUUGUGUUAAGUUGAAAUAAUCAAAAUCAUUGAAUGAAGACCUGAAUCACUUUCAUCGUAUAGUUAAGAAAGAUUUCUUUCACUACUAUACAAAAAAGAUCAAGGAUAUACAACACAGAUGCAAACAACUGUCUAGUUACUUUUGCUGGAGUGUGAAGUAGCUAUGACAAGCAACUAUUGUAGACAACAAAAAAAAAAGCAAGUGAUCUGACUAGCAACAUUAAUAUCAAACUCACAAAAUAAAGGUUAUAUUUAUGUGUGCGCCUGUAUACGAAGUUGCAGACAUAGCUGUGUGGCUAAGAAGUUUAUUGCGCAACCAGAUGGCUUCAGGUUUAGUCACCUUGAACAGGUCUCUUCUACAGUAGCUCCAGGCUGACUAAAGCCUUGUGAGUUGAUUUGACACAUAGAAACUGAAACAAUAUUAAAUGUGUAUGUGAGUGUAUGUGUGUGAGAGAGUGAGAAAGAGAGUGAGUGUGUGUGUGUGUAUAUAUAUAAUUGGAUAAAGAUAGUUAUGGUUGGUCUAUGGGGUUAUUCAGGCUUCUAUGACCAUAAAGCACUUCGCUUUACAGUGUCUCUUCAGACCCUAAUGGCUAGUGGCCUAUAACCUCUCUUCAAAGUGGAAGGAGAAAAGGCCUUAUGGCUAGUGUCAUUAUCAUUUAAUGUCCAUUUUUCAUGCCGGCAUGUGUUGGACUGCUGACCACCUGAAGAGCUGCCCAAAUUCCCUGUCUGUUUUGACAUGGUUUCUACAGAUGGGUGCCCUUCCUAACACCAACCACUUUACAGAGUAUAUUUGGUGAUAUUUCAUUUGCUUAGUUAAUGGACAUCUGUUCAGUGAUAGAAACAGAUUUUAGAAACUAAUCAUAUGCUAUGAUCUAUGACAAUGAGCUGGGGAAGGAGAGAAGGGGUAAACUGCCUCAUCUCCCCAAUGAGCUGAAAAGUAAAGGAAUGCUGUCCCUCAGCGUAACGCCUCCCCACAUCCUGCUUCCAUUAUUCCAGCAGCCAUGCUAGUAGACUCUACCCACCAGAAUCCAGUACUUAUGUUGUUGACCUCUAUUUGCUGACCUGCUAUGUUACAGGUCAUAUAAAACACCAGUUUCUACCAGCAUCAGCAAAAAGGUAGACAUAGAGAAAGACACACACAUAUUCUUACUUCAAAAACAAAUAAAGGUUGGGGACAGAAAGAGCAUCUGGCUAUAAAACAAUGCAUCAGUAAUUCGUAUUUAUCUAAUCCAUUCUAACAUGGAAAAAUGGACAUAAAAACUGAUAUAGGCACACAUAUAUGUACAUAGGGCCACAUGCUCAUGCAUGCAUGUGCAUGCACACACACACACACAUGUUCACACACACACACAUGUACACACACACACACACACACACACACACACACAAACAGGCUUUCAUGCAUUUUCCAUCUAGCAAAUUUCACUCACAAAGCAUUAAGCAGCUCAAGGGUAUAGCAGAAAAUACCAAAAGAAAUAUGUCCUAGGUAUUGAACCCAAACCACAUGGUCGAGAAGUGAACUACUUAACCACACAGCCAUGCCUAACCCCCAAUAUGUGUAGAAACCCAGAAGUAAUAAGCCAAUACAGUUAAACAGGCAAGACCACAAGUUGGUUUGGUUUUAGCUUGCAACAAAGAUACCAUUCAUUUAGUCCUCUUUUACCAGUCAGUGAUAGGAAUAGCAAAUCCUGAUGAGGUUAAUUGUACCAUUCAUAUCAGUUUUGAAAUCUUUAACUUCAAGUUAAGUAACAUGCAUCUUAACCAUAGAAUUGACAUUCGCAUUUUUAUUACACUCAAAGUCAUGUGUGCAUCCGAAUGAACAGGGAAUUUAUCAUAUGAAUGUUAUAUUUCUUUCAAGAGAAAGUUUCUUUAAAGCUAAAAAAAGACUAAUUAAAAUGUAACAAGCAGGGGGAAACUGAAAAGAAAAAAAGUUUUAAAAACAAGAGAUUGCUCUACAUAAAUGAAAAUCAAAUUGAAUUGAAAAAUCUUUUGGGAAACAAGAGUAGGUGAUAGUUAACAAUAAUAAUAAAUGCAAACAAUAAUAUAAAUGCUAUGAUUUAUUAAUAUAUAUAUAUAUGUGUAUAUAUAAAUAAGCAUAAAGUUAUAGACCAAGUAUAAGAAAACAAGAUGUUUGUAUCAUUAAUAAAAGUAGCACAUGGCAAACCAAACAGAACAGUUUGCAAUUUUUCUAAAUGUAUAUUUUUCACUGAGCUAAUACCACUUUUAAAAAGAAGUAAAAAUGAUACCAGAAAGAUAUAUAAAAAUCUUCAAUUGAAAAUAUUUAAAAUAUAUAAAAAACAAAAUAAAGACGAAACUUAGCAAAUACAAGAUAGUUUAGCCAAAGAAAAUAAAAGGAAACCUUGUCUACAAACAGAUGUUGUUGAAAGCUAAAAGAUUGCUAACAGCUAGUUUAAUUUAAUUUUUUUUGCAUUUUCCCUUUUAAAUCAAGAGAUAGAGAAAAUAGGUCUUAAAUGGAAAAUAAAGGCAAGUUUGUAUUCUUUUAAGCUGUUUAGGGAAGGAAUAUCAAAGAAAGAGAGAAAACCUUGUAGUGAAAAUUAUAGUUUGCAUUUUAUUUAGAUUUCAGUAUCAUAAUCAUCACCAUUAUCAUAAAAUUUCUUCUGAAUGUUGCUAUGGAAAGGCACAUAAAUCUACAUCAAAAGAAUGCUGUUCUGAUGCCCAAAUGGAUAUAUCUAACAUUUUUACAUCCAUUUUUUCCAGUCUUAGAUGAGAUGGAUGUUUCAUUGGAUUUUUGUAGAAAUGAUUGUUUUUACAACUGAGUGCCCUUUUUAAUACUAACCACUCAACAGUGAGAUAGAUCUGGAACAUGGAUUUCUGUCAUACAUCUUGCUCAAGGAUAUGAUUUAAUAACAGUAGCAAGAUUUUGGAUCUUUGAUGCCUCAUGUUCCAUUACUCUGCUACAUGAUCACAACUACUGUUCUUGACAUUUCAUAGCCUUAAUAAUCAUUUCUGAUUUAGGCACAACACCAGCAAUUUUUAGGGUAUGGGGUGCAAUUAAUAUUAUCAACCUUAGUAUUUAUUUUAUUGAUCCCCAAAACAUGAAUGGCAAAGUUGACCUCAUUAAAUUUGAACUCGGAAUGUAAGGAGCUGGAAGAAAUUACACAAAAUGAUUUGCUUGAUUCUCUAACAAUUCUGCCAAUCCACCACUUUUCAUAACCUUAAUAAUAAGAAUGAAAUAUAAAUUUUGACAAAUGGUUACAAAUCUUUAGGAGAGAUUUAUCAAUUUGAUCAGCUUCAGUACAUUAGCCAGUGAGGGGGCCUUUCCUGUGGUCGCUCAAACUGCUAGAAAUAGCAACAAAAUCAGUCUCAAAUAACACUACCAUUUUUUUAUUAAAAGAGGAAUGAAUACAUUGGAUAAACUGUCUAAAAAGAAAAAAAAAAAAAAAAAUAGUCUUGGCUAAAAUGCAUUUCAAAUUUGUUUGAGUAGAAAUUACCUGGAGCUAAAUCUAAACAACAAUAACAACAAGUGGCAAUUAUUUCAUGAAUCCCAGAAAAAUAAAAGCAAAAUUGAUUUAAAUACAGCUUGGACUCAGAAUGUAAGACGAAUUAAACCAAAUAUUGUAAGGUGUUGACUCUUUUACUCUUUUACUUGUUUCAGUCAUUUGACUGUGGCCAUGCUGAAGCACUGCCUUUAGUCGAGGAAAUCGACCCCAGGACUUAUUCUUUGUAAGCCUAGUACUUAUUCUAUCGGUCGCUUUUGCCGAACUGCUAAGUUACAGGGAUGUAAACACACCAGCAUCGGUUGUCAAGCGAUGUUGGGAGGGACAAACACAGACACACAGACAACGUACAUAUAUAUACAUAUAUAUGACAGGCUUCUUUCAGUUUCCGUCUACCAAAUCCACUCACAAGGCUUUGAUCGGCCCGAGGCUAUAGUAGAAGACAUUUGCGCAAGGUGCCACGCAGUGGGAAUGAACCCAGAACCAUGUGGUUGGUAAGCAAGCUACUUACCACACAGCCACUCCUGCACCUGUAAAACUUACUUUUAUUCAUGCCAUUCCCUUGCUUUAAAAUGGAGUUCUAAUGCUGCAUUGUAUUUUUUUUUUAUGGUUAUUUGGUUACCUCAGUCUACCGAGACAAAGAAUGGAUGCCACAUUCAUAUCAUGAUUGAGUAAAUGGCUCUGAGAAUGGCGUCAUUUCUACAUAACAUUGAAACACAUCUGAUUAGAAAACGAAACGCCUUCUUGAAACAAAACUACAAAAGAGUACGCGAGAAGCAUCAUUUCUCUGCUGCAUGAAGUAAUUUUACCUGCAGCAGGUGUCAUCACUACCGCAGAUCAAGCGCAGGCCUUGUAGCCCACAUGUUAGCCUGCCAGAGAUCGUUAGUGAAUAAUAAGAGUCAAUGUCAACCUAUGACAGACAGAUGAAGAAGAAGAAGAUAUAUCCUGACACAACUACUGACACUCUACAGAGCUCAGGUGAAAACUACAAUCGUGUAUUUACUCUCACAUCUGGGAUGCUGCUGCAAAUAUCCUAGAAAGAAAGACGUCUAUUGAAAGAAAGGCCAAUCAACUUAGCUUGCAACCACUUACAGACAUUCUGUCUUUUCUUUCUGUCUUUACUACUUUUCUACUACUUCUAUCAUAGCCCAUCCUCUGCAGAGCUGGCUGGGUUUGUACCACCUCUCCUCAAGCACUCCUCAUUCACUCAUCUCUCCUCCUUUCAUCACCCAAGUUAUAUCCAACUAGCAGUAUCGCCCGGCGUUGCUCGGGUUUGUAAGGGAAAUAACUAUAUAAGCAUUUUUAGAGAGUUACUUCCCUUAUAUAAUAGCAAAAUAAUGCAUUAAAAAUGGAAAAAAUGAUGGUAAAUUUUUUUUUUAAUCGUAGACUCAUCGUAGACAUUUUUAAAGAGUUACCUCCCUUAUAUAAUAGCAAAAAAAAUGCAUUAAAAAUGGAAAAAAAUGGUGGUAAAUUUUUUUUUAAAUCGUAGACUCAUCGUAGAUGCAUGCUAAUACACAGAAGGGCUCGAUAUGAAUCACAACUAUAAGAUACCCGGUUUUGUUAAACUGCACCGCAAAAUGUGGGAGUAGUUAGGAAUCUAAAUCGUAGGAGACAGACAGCAUACAACCUCAUUUUUAUAUAUAUAUAGAUUUACAGAUUUUGCAUAAUGCCACUAGGCUAAACCUCUCCUUCUCAAGAUGUCAACCGUCUGGAGCUUCCUCCUCCCUUGCUCAAGUCUUUCCUGAUAUGUGAUGACUGGCAACAGUUUAUGUGGAACAAUAAUAAUGGCAUCAACUUCAUCAGUUUCAGACAGUCUGUGAAGGCCAUAGGUACUGCCCCUUCCACCAGACCCAACAAAUAAAAAAGAAAAUGAUUUAUAUACUUGACAUAAAAGCAAAUUUGUAUUUAAAUAAAUUACAGAAAGCGAGGGAAAAAAACAAAAAACAAAAAGCAACCAAAUCAUUUUCUUUCUCUUUCUUGGAGCUAAUUGUUUGCCUGAAUAUAUUUAACAUUAUUUGUUGCUUUAGCAGAAAUUAUAAGAAUUGAUACCGAGUAAGCCUGAAUGGAGUUCUAAGUCCUUUGAGAAUUGACACAAUAACUAAAACCUCAUAAGAGAUCUAUAUUAAAUGAACCAAAUAACUCUUUCCCAAUUUGUUAGUAAUACUAAAUUAAAUUAUUCAAGAUAUAUUAUUGAAGAUACUGCACCCUUCUUACACACUCAGCAAAUAAAAAAACAAAAAAAAGCAAAACAAUAAAAUCAAUAAUAAUAAUAAUAAUAAUUAUGAUGAUGAAAAUGAUAAUGGUUUCAAAUUUUGGCAUAAGGCCAGCAGUUCCGGUGAAGGGGGUAAGUUGUUUACAUUGAUCUCAGUACUCAACUGGUAUUUAUUCUAUCAAGCCCGAAAGGAUGAAAGGCAAAGUCGACCUCAGCAGAAUUUGACCUUAGAAUGUAAAGACUAACAGCAUGCUACGAAGCAUUUUGCUUGGCAUGCUAACGAUUCUGCCAGCUCACCAUUAUAUAAUGAUAAUAAUGAUAAUAAUAACAGUGAUAAAUGAUAAUGUAUACUGUCAAUCUAACAAGAACGUGACAGUAGGGUGUACACCACCGUUGUAUAGCCCUGGGAGGCAUCGAACGCCUCCUGACAGCUUUAACACAUUUUUUUUCCUGUGUCCUUAUAUACAUAUACGAAGGGGAGACAAACACCCCCAACCGCCGAAGCUGUCGAAGCUGUCAGGAGGCGUUUGAUGCCUUAUGGGCUAUACAACGGUGGUGUACCCCCUACUGUCACGUUCUUGUUAGAUUGACAGUAUACAACCAUUCUAUCGCCCCACCACCAUACAUGUCUCUACGAGAGAUUUAAAAAUUCAAUAUUUCUAAUGAUAAUAAUAACAGUGAUAAAUGAUAAAGGUUUCAAAUUUUGGUACAAGGCCAGCAGUUUCAGGGGGUGGGGGAAUAAGUUGCUUACAUUGAUCCCAGUGCUCAACUGGUACUUAAUUUAUCGGCCCCAAAAGGAUGAAAGAAAGUCGACCUCAGAGGAAUUUGAACUCAGAAUGAAAAGACAGAUGAAAUACCCAUUUCUUUGAGCUUACCACCCUAAUAAUAGAAGGGACAAACAAGGACAGACAUAGGUAUUGGGGACAGAUGAUUAGAUCAACCCCAGUAUGCAACUGGUACUUAAUUUAUCGACCUCGGCGGAAUUUAUCGACCUCGGCGGAAUUUGAACUCACAACGUAACGACAGAUGAAAUACCACUAAGCAUUUCGCCCGACAUGCUAACGUUUCUUAUUUCUUUAUUGCCCACAAGGGGCUGAACAUAGAGGGGACAAACAAGGACAGACAAAGGGAUUGAGUCGAUUACAUUGACCCCAGUGUGCAACUGGUACUUAAUUUAUGGACCCCGAAAGGAUGAAAGACCAAGUCGACCUCGGCGGAAUUUGAACACGAAAUGUAAAGACAGACAAAAUGCCGCUAAGCAUUUCACCCGGCGUGCUAAUGUUUCUGCCAGCUGGCCACCUUCCACCCUAAUAAUAAUAAUAAUAAUACGGUUUACAAAACUGACAUGGACAAAUUUAGUAUUUACAUAAAUUCAAGGAGGGAAAAAAAAAACAACCAGCAACUUGAUCAAAUUUUUUUUUUUAUAUAUCUUGUAACUAGUUGUUUUUUUUUUAUAAAUAUAAUUAACAUUAUCUGUUGUUAGAGCAGAAAUAUAAUAUAUUAUAAGUAUUGAGAUGAAGUAACCUUGAAUGAAAUGCCAAGUCCAUUGAGGACUGACAUAGCUGCUAAAAUCUCAUAACAGAUAUGUUCAAUGAACUUAAUAACUCAUUCACACUUUGUUAGUAAUACCAAAUUAAAUAAUUCAAUAUAUACUCUCAGAAUUUUAUGUACUUCUAUCUUUCCUACACUACAGAAAACAUACAUAAAAAUUCUCCAGCAAAUAUUUUAUACAAAUGAAUGCUUCUCAUAUUUAUAUCUUGUCAAUGUAAUUUAAGUGAUUAGUGGUUGCAAUUAGUUAAACAAUUUGAAUGUAAUGUGUCAAUAUUGGGACACCAAACAUUAACUGUAACAAGGCUUGAACUGUUGACCAUGCAAUUUGUAGUCUAGAGCCUUAAUUUCUCACCUACUGUGCCUCAUAAAUGUGUUAGAAUCAACAUUUGAUAUAUAUGCGUGUAUGGGUUUGAGAGAGUGUGAUGGUGUAUAUAGACAUGUAUAUUUGUGUUACCUUGUCUUGUCAUAGAAUGAUACUUGUGAAUAAACAUCAUUGUAAAACAGAGAGAAUCAUUCGUUACCAAUAUUCUACAAAAACAUGUCUGGGUAGAGGGAAAUAUUACUUGCUUGGAAACUGGUUUGGGUUGGCGAGAGGAAGGAAAUGCAGCCAAAGAAAAUUUGCUUCUGUAAACCCAUGCGAGACCCAUGCAAGCUUGGGAUUGUGAACAUAGGCGCAGGAGUGGCUGUGUGGUAAGUAGCUUGCUAACCAACCACAUGGUUCUGGGUUCAGUCCCACUGCGUGGCAUCUUGGGCUAUAGUCCCUGGCCGACCAAUGCCUUGUGAAUGGAUUUGGUAGACGGAAACUGAAAGAAGCCUGUCGUAUAUAUGUAUAUAUAUAUAUAUGUGUGUGUGUGUAUGUGUCUGUGUUUGUCUCCCUAGCAUUGCUUGACAACUGAUGCUGGUGUGUUUACGUCCCCGUCAAUUAGUGGUUCGGCAAAAGAGACUGAUAGAAUAAGUACUGGGCUUACAAAGAAUAAGUCCCGGGGUCGAUUUGCCCGACUAAAGGCGGUGCUCCAGCAUGGCCGCAGUCAAAUGACUGAAACCAGUAAAAGAGUAAAAGAGUAUACAAGUUUUUUUUCCAAGUUUAAUAAAAUAUACAGCAGUGAUGCCAUUAGCUGGAGGGAGAUGGAAAAGAGAGGAAAGACUGAUCAAGGAAUAUGGGGGGGGGGGUGGAAAGAUAUUCUGAUAUGAUUGGAAAAGUUGGAUGGUGGGGAAAAAGCUGUUGUCC